CCCUUAGAUGUUCUGGGCCGCACGCGCGCUACACUGACACACUCAACAAGCUUAUAACCUUGUCCGAGAGGUCUGGGAAAUCUUUGAAUAUGUGUCGUGAUGGGGAUAGAUCGUUGCAAUUCUCGAUCUUCAACGAGGAAUUCCUAGUAAACGCAGUUCAUCAGACUGCAUUGAUUACGUCCCUGCCCUUUGUACACACCGCCCGUCGCACCUACCGAUUGAAUGUUCCGGUGAACACUUUGGAAUCGAGGCAUCGUUUGAGGCAACUUGGACUUUGCCACCGGUGAAGCUGUGUAAACCUUAACAUUUAGAGGAAGGAGAAGUCGUAACA
RNAcentral lists this ribosomal RNA (331 nucleotides) under uncultured eukaryote. RNAcentral's name for it is "partial 18S ribosomal RNA". It matches the Rfam family "Eukaryotic small subunit ribosomal RNA", at positions 1470 to 1796 of the family's 1831-position model. The record is from RNAcentral.